AAUUCUGAUUACCAGCCCGGCACCCCUAAAUAUAGGCCAGCUUAGGUUUGGAAACUAAAUGACCUCAGCAGCAUUUUCAGUGUUCAUUUGGAAACCUUUCAAGCAGAAGCCCUGGGAUCUUGCAGAGUACAGAUCCUAGAACAGGAGGAGAAGGAUAAGAAUAUGCUUAUCUUCUGAUACAGCUUGUGGGUGCCAGAGCAGACAUGUGGAGGUCAGAGGACAAUUCGCAAGGACAGUUCUCUCCUUCCUCCCUGUGGGUUCCAGGGAUUGAAUCCAGGUCAUCACUUUCUGCCUUUCAAUCGCUCCAGACAGCCUCGCUGGUUCAGGUCACCAAGGUGGACUGAGAAACAGGGAUCUUGAGCAGGCCCUUUGCCCGACACGUCGGUGUGGCAAGGCUGGAAGGUCUUCCUGCCUCCAGUUGCACAAAGGAAUGGGUUACAGUGGAGAUGGAGAGUUCUGGAGAUUCACACUGAGAUAUGGAAAGGACCUGAAGGAGGGCCCGGGAACAUGAGGACAAACUUCUAAAGCAGCCUAUAAUGAAGAAUUGCAGAGCAGUGCCAUCGAAAUGAAGGACUCAGCCCCAGUGUAGGAUAAGAUUGGGACACAGAAAAUUGCAGCAGAUUGCCUAAGGCAAACCGCAACCAGCCAGCAGCUGGAUGGAACAGAGAAGAUGCCCGUUAUGUGGGGAAUGUGAGAAGGAUGUUUUCGGGUCUGUGCGCAGCUGUGACAAGCCAGGUAGAAACGGAGUUGGCCCCCUUUCCUGUGUGGGGACUGGAUGUCCCCAAAUUAUCUACAAGAUUUCGACUUGCCAUUGCCCGCUUAGGGAAAUCAUCCAGAGAGAAUUUGUGAGGGGUAAUUGGACAAUGUGCUCUUCACUGACUGAGGCUUCCCUGGGGUAAGGAGUGGGUACCGGGACAAAGCCAGCAAACUGGGAGAAAUCUAAGUUUAGAAGUGCUUAGAAAUCCGAACUGUAAGUUCAUACAUGUAAGUCACAGAAUAGUGGCACCCCAAAAUGGUGAAAACUGUCUUUCCCUUUUCUCUCCGUUCUAACUAUAGGCCGUCAUUUCACCCGACAGAUAAAAGCCAGAGGGCUUUUGGGGUAAGAAGAGCAUGCUCAGUGGAAUGAGACCUGCUGUGAACCAGCGGAUCCUCAGAACUCUUAUUUCUAUAGCAGCUGAUACUGACAUACAUGACUCUGUACAUAGCAGGGAUUCCAGAGAGUUCUCAGUAUCUGGUUCAAACUCGUUUUUGCAUCUAGAGGCAAAAGGAGGCAUCAAUUCCAGAGGGUCUUCUUGACAUUCCAGAAGCCCAUCUACGUUAGACAGAAAAUUCAAAAAAGAAAUCAACCCUUUCUGCUAACCCCCAAGACACUGUAAAUACUGUGGUGGAGGCCUGCAGCCACUCUGGAGAGCGAAAGUUCUGUACUCAGCCACAUCUGGAGUUAGGCAACGCUUUGCCCUUUUUCUGUCAAUGUGACUUCGGAAAAUUUCCUUAUACUCUUUCAUGCUUGAUUUUUUCCCCUUGUGCAGAGUAGAAAGAAUAGUGGAAGGUACCAUUUAGGGUUGUUAUAGGAGUGAGAGGAUGUGUGGGAAUGGCUUAGUGGGUGAUACAUAUGUUAAAAUAGUAUGCGAUUUCCUUCCUUCCAUCCUCUCUUUCUUCCUUCCUGCCUUCCUUCCAUCCUCUCUUUCUUCCUUCCUUCCUGCCUU
Molecule: non-coding RNA, 1706 nt
Organism: Peromyscus maniculatus bairdii (prairie deer mouse)
Lineage: Eukaryota; Metazoa; Chordata; Mammalia; Rodentia; Cricetidae
Source: RefSeq, a predicted model, not a curated record